RNAcentral lists this transfer RNA (70 nucleotides) under Ictidomys tridecemlineatus (thirteen-lined ground squirrel). RNAcentral describes it as "Spermophilus tridecemlineatus (thirteen-lined ground squirrel) tRNA". It matches the Rfam family "tRNA". From Rfam's summary of the family: Transfer RNA (tRNA) molecules are approximately 80 nucleotides in length. Their secondary structure includes four short double-helical elements and three loops (D, anti-codon, and T loops). Further hydrogen bonds mediate the characteristic L-shaped molecular structure. tRNAs have two regions of fundamental functional importance: the anti-codon, which is responsible for specific mRNA codon recognition, and the 3' end, to which the tRNAs corresponding amino acid is attached (by aminoacyl-tRNA synthetases). tRNAs cope with the degeneracy of the genetic code in two manners: having more than one tRNA (with a specific anti-codon) for a particular amino acid; and 'wobble' base-pairing, i.e. permitting non-standard base-pairing at the 3rd anti-codon position. The record is from Rfam by way of RNAcentral. Lineage: Eukaryota; Metazoa; Chordata; Mammalia; Rodentia; Sciuridae.
UGAAGUGUAGCACAGUAGUAGAGUGCUUGCUUAGCAAGCAUGAGGCCCUAGGUUUAAUUCCCAGCACCAA